RNAcentral lists this ribosomal RNA (414 nucleotides) under uncultured bacterium. RNAcentral describes it as "bacterial SSU rRNA". It matches the Rfam family "Bacterial small subunit ribosomal RNA", at positions 355 to 786 of the family's 1533-position model. The record is from RNAcentral.
UCGGGAAUAUUGCGCAAUGGAGGAAACUCUGACGCAGUGACGCCGCGUAUAGGAAGAAGGUUUUCGGAUUGUAAACUAUUGUCGUUAGGGAAGAGAAAGGACAGUACCUAAGGAGGAAGCUCCGGCUAACUACGUGCCAGCAGCCGCGGUAAUACGUAGGGAGCGAGCGUUAUCCGGAAUUAUUGGGUGUAAAGGGUGCGUAGACGGGAGAGCAAGUUAGUUGUGAAAUCCCUCGGCUUAACUGAGGAACUGCAACUAAAACUACCCUUCUUGAGUGCAGGAGAGGUAAGUGGAAUUCCUAGUGUAGCGGUGAAAUGCGUAGAUAUUAGGAGGAACACCAGUGGCGAAGGCGACUUACUGGACUGUAACUGACGUUGAGGCACGAAAGUGUGGGGAGCAACAGGAUUAGAUACC